CUUCACACAUUUCGGCAGCAUUUUUAUUUUCUGUGUUUCUUAUUGCCCGAUCGACCCUUCCAAUUUUAUUGCCGACCGCCCCCAAUUUUUUUUCCAUUCC
Molecule: long non-coding RNA, 100 nt
Organism: Haliotis rubra (blacklip abalone)
Lineage: Eukaryota; Metazoa; Mollusca; Gastropoda; Lepetellida; Haliotidae
Exons: 3
Source: RefSeq, a predicted model, not a curated record